CGACAAUGUACAUCUGUCAUCGCGGUUGGCUGCAGCGAACGUCUCAGCAGAGAACAGGCGUCUCUGUUCAAAUUUGUUUUCUACGAAGAGUAGAAUUCGAAUCCAGGAAGAAUGGAAUCCCCGAACUGUGGUGGCGUGAAUUUUCGUACGAGGAAUCACAAUGGUUCUAUUAAUAAAAAUCGUCCCAAAGGUUUUGGUUUUACUGGAGGCAGCGCUUCGAGUGAAGCGGAAAAUCCUCUCUACAUUGGCGUUGCGCGUCGUCUCGCAGGACAGAAAAGAUCGCUGGAUGGAGGAAACGUCAAAAGUAAAAUGUUUUCCGUUAAAGUUGAUUGGCAAAAUACCUAUGAUCACAUAUUUUUGACCUUGACUAAAGAUUCUGGUGGGAUUAUAGAAAGAAAACUGACCAUAGUCGAGAGUAUGGGCAUCGCAUUUUUAUAUCCAGAUAUUUACCGUAAGAUUGAAGAAUCAAUGAUGGAACUGGAUGAAUCGGAACUGUUAAGAUUUCUAUCAAAUGCAAACUUACUGCGAUCGAAAAUAGAUGCAGCUGCCAAGACAGUUCAAAAACAUCUUUCAAACAAGGAUAUUGAAAAUUUUGAGAACCAGACUAGAGCAAUACGAUUGCUAUAAAAAGCAAAUACAUUUGUCACAUCGAUGUAAAAUCUGGAAUUUCGAAAUUGAUCACUAAUGUUUUCUUUCUUUUGUUUGCUGGUGUUGAACGAGUAUAUUAAUAAAAUAAAUCUUGUGAGCAGUAGGCUCUUA
Molecule: long non-coding RNA, 759 nt
Organism: Toxorhynchites rutilus septentrionalis
Lineage: Eukaryota; Metazoa; Arthropoda; Insecta; Diptera; Culicidae
Exons: 2
Source: RefSeq, a predicted model, not a curated record